This 574-nucleotide long non-coding RNA is filed under the name Pogona vitticeps (central bearded dragon). RNAcentral describes it as "lncRNA (ENSPVIG00000004603.1)". Lineage: Eukaryota; Metazoa; Chordata; Lepidosauria; Squamata; Agamidae. The record is from RNAcentral.
CUUAAAAAUCUUAUGAGGGUUGCUGUAAGUCAAAUGAGACUCAAUGAGCAGUCUGCAGAGCAUAGUUAAGCCUUCACUAACCUUAAACAAGUCACAAUUCUUGGUCCCUGUUCUAAAAUCCUCUUCUGAUCUUCUUGAAUGCAGGGGAUCCCUUGUGUAAUACAUCUGUGACCGAAUCUCAAGCAUUCCUGGGUCUUCUGGAACAAAGAGCAUUAUCUUGUAAAUCAAGACUGAUCUGAAAUACUACUCCAACCACCACCCUCUUCGUCGCCAUACUUGGUCACAAUGGUGGGCUUGUCUGAAACUGGAGAGUACAGAAUAUGCCACCGUCGCUGCCUAUGUGUCUUGUGAAUGGAGGUGUCCAUUGCUGAAUCAACCUAACAGGCAGGGUCUGGAAAAGUUACUCUUUUGGACCACAACGCUGACAGUUCCUACCACCUGGGGAUUGUGGGAGUUGUAGUCCCACCUGCAAACCCUUCUGAAGCUCUGCUAACCAGCUACUUGUGCUAACAUGCAUUCCUGACAGACAGCGCUUUGUAAUAAAACAUGUGGUCUGAUUGUUCCUUUAAAUGAA